CCGAGUACCAAGGGGUGCCUUUUUAGGCUGAGAUGCGAAAGCGAACCCUUUUUACCUGAUCCGGUUAAUACUGGCGUAGGGAUGGUAAAGUCUCGCAUA
Molecule: non-coding RNA, 99 nt
Organism: Idiomarina baltica OS145
Lineage: Bacteria; Pseudomonadati; Pseudomonadota; Gammaproteobacteria; Alteromonadales; Idiomarinaceae
Source: Rfam